This 541-nucleotide ribosomal RNA is filed under the name uncultured bacterium. RNAcentral's name for it is "bacterial SSU rRNA". It matches the Rfam family "Bacterial small subunit ribosomal RNA", at positions 315 to 841 of the family's 1533-position model. The record is from RNAcentral.
GGCACUGAGAUACGGGGCCAGACUCCUACGGGGAGGCAGCAGUGAGGAAUAUUGCGCAAGUGGGGGAAACCCUGACGCAGCAACGCCGCGUGUGGGAAGAAGGCCUUCGGGUCGUAAACCACUUUUGCACGGGAACGAAAAAAGGGAUAUCGAACAAAUACUCCCCGAUGACGGUACCGUGAGAAUAAGCCACGGCUAACUCUGUGCCAGCAGCCGCGGUAAGACAGAGGUGGCAAGCGUUGUUCGGUAAUUACUGGGCGUAAAGAGUCUGUAGGUGGUUUGUCAAGUCUUUGGUGAAAGGCCGUAGCUUAACUAUGGGAAUGCCAAAGAGACUGGCAGGCUGGAGGCUGGGAGAGGGAAGCGGAAUUUCUGGUGUAGCGGUGAAAUGCGUAGAUAUCAGAAGGAAGGCCGGUGGCGAAGGCGGCUUCCUGGAACAGUCCUGACACUGAGAGACGAAAGCGGUGGGGAGCAAACAGGAUUAGAUACCCUGGUAGUCCACGCCCUAAACGAUGGGUACUAAGUGUGGAGGGGUUAAACCCUC